Molecule: ribosomal RNA, 270 nt
Filed under: uncultured bacterium
Lineage: Bacteria
Description: partial 16S ribosomal RNA
Rfam family: Bacterial small subunit ribosomal RNA
Source: RNAcentral
AGUGAACGCUGGCGGCGUGGCUAAGGCAUGCAAGUCGCACGGGGCAGCAAUGCCCAGUGGCGCAAGGGUGAGUAAUGGAUAGCUAACGUACCCUGAACUGGGGCACAGCCAGUCGAAAGACUGGGUAAUUCCCCAUGAAGUCGCGAGGUCACAUGAUUUUGCGACCAAAGGUGAGGACCGCAAGGCUUAUCGGUUUUGGAGCGGGCUAUCUGCUAUCAGCUAGUUGGUGUGGUAACGGCACACCAAGGCGAUGACGGCUAGCUGGUCUGA